GAUGAACGCUGGCGGCGUGCCUAAUACAUGCAAGUCGAGCGAACAGACGAGGAGCUUGCUCCUCUGACGUUAGCGGCGGACGGGUGAGUAACACGUGGAUAACCUACCUAUAAGACUGGGAUAACUUCGGGAAACCGGAGCUAAUACCGGAUAAUAUAUUGAACCGCAUGGUUCAAUAGUGAAAGACGGUUUUGCUGUCACUUAUAGAUGGAUCCGCGCCGCAUUAGCUAGUUGGUAAGGUAACGGCUUACCAAGGCAACGAUGCGUAGCCGACCUGAGAGGGUGAUCGGCCACACUGGAACUGAGCCAUGGUCCAGACUCCUAAGGGAGGCAGCAGUAGGGAAUCUUACGCAAUGGGCGAAAGCCUGACGGAGCAACGCCGCGUGAGUGAUGAAGGUCUUCGGAUCGUAAAACUCUGUUAUUAGGGAAGAACAAAUGUGUAAGUAACUAUGCACGUCUUGACGGUACCUAAUCAGAAAGCCACGGCUAACUACGUG
This 497-nucleotide ribosomal RNA is filed under the name uncultured bacterium. RNAcentral's name for it is "partial 16S ribosomal RNA". It matches the Rfam family "Bacterial small subunit ribosomal RNA", at positions 28 to 507 of the family's 1533-position model. The record is from RNAcentral.